RNAcentral lists this long non-coding RNA (2058 nucleotides) under Salvia miltiorrhiza (redroot sage). Its description in RNAcentral is "long non-coding RNA (SMIL_LNC001554)". The record is from RNAcentral. Lineage: Eukaryota; Viridiplantae; Streptophyta; Magnoliopsida; Lamiales; Lamiaceae.
UCUGACUUGACAGAGAACUUCCCAUCAAAUGCAUACUCCGGAGCCAUGUAGCCACUGUAAUGAGCUCUGAUGCAUUAUUCUCUAUGAGAAGAGUAUGUAUACAUAACUGCUUUGUGUGUGUGUGACACUUACUAUGUCCCAGCAACUCGUUUUGUUCUCGCUGUAGACUGAUCGCCUUCAAACAUUCUAGCUAGACCGAAAUCUGAGAUCUUCGCAUUCAGAUUCUCAUCUAAUAAGAUAUUGCUUGCUUUUAGGUCCCUGUGGAUGAUUUUCACUCUGGAAUCAUUAUGGAGGUAAACCAUACCCCUUGCAAUCCCCAUGAUAAUAUCGAAGCGCUUUGGCCAAGUCAAUAGUGGCCUUCUUUCUUGAUCUGCAUGUGUUGAAGAGUAUUACUAAGGUAAAAAUAAAACUGUAAUCUCUUGGAUAGAGUAGAAACUGUAGAAAGAUUUUCUCGAAAUUAUUAUCCAAACCAAAAAUGAAAUAGUCCAAGCUUUUGUUCUGCAUGUAUUCAUAGAUCAACAUCUUUUCCUCCCCUUCAAUGCAGCAUCCCAGGAUUUUGACCAGGUUCCUGUGCUGGAGUUUCGCGAUCAAAAUGAAUUCAUUUCUGAACUCUUCGGGGCCUUGUCCAGAACUCCUCGACAUUCUUUUCACCGCAAUUACUUGCUCUGCUGAUAGAAUUCCCUGCAGUGGCCAAAUCAAAAUCAAACUCAAACAGUAUAUAUUAUUGCUACUAUAAGUAAAUAUUGAUUUAUAAGCAUCACUUAACAUAAUGUUUUUACCUUGUAAACAGGACCAAAACCGCCUUCUCCAAUCAUAUUCUCUGUUGAGAAGUUAUUCGUGGCUGUUGCGAUGGUUCCCAAAUCAAAUAAAGGUAACUCUAAUCCACCCCUUACCUUCUUAGAAGCUGUGAAAGCAGUUAGUUAUACAUUUGUUCAAGUGUCUAUAAUAUUUGCUUGCAACAUAUAUCUUUACUGUGUAAACACAAUCAGUAAUUUGACCUUGUCUCCUGUGUCUUAUCUGUAGAAAAAAGCCUCCAAUAGCAAAGCCCAAUAUAAGCAUUCCAAACCCAGAAGCAGCAGCACCUAUAAGCUUCAACUCUCUCUUUGCUUGCCCUGUCCUCUUCCUAUUCGAAUCUGUCGCAUGUUCUAAGACGAAAUAUCAAGUAUUAGUAAUAAGGUUUGAUAAAAUACAAUCUCAGCUAAUCUCCUUAGCUCAUUAUAGAAUGCACUGAAGUAUUCAUCAUACCAAGUUCUGUAACAGGCACGCGAAUAUAAACAGUCGGUACUGCUCCAGAUUCUGUGCUCAGCUCCCUUAAGUCAAUCAAGUCCCCAAACCACAUCAAACAGUUUCUUUCAUAAUCUGAGUAAGGAUCAUCAGCAUAAGCCGUGCAGUUACAUUCGCUUAGGCAUUUUCUGCGACAUUCAACAGAGCUCAUAUUAGCAUUCAACUGAAAAUUCAGUGAAUCAGGGAACUUGAUUCCUUCCAUCUUCAGAAAGUCAUCUCCCUUUUGGCAAUCUAAUGGUGGAUCUCUAUAACAUCCAUUUCUCCACUCAUACAUCCUCCAUUCCUUUUCAGAUCUCGGCUUGAAUCCCCUUAGACACUCACAUACUGGCAUUUUGUUAAUCUUGCAGAUGCCAUAAUGACCACACCUGCCAUAACUGUUACACAAAUCGUCUGUAGAGGCUAUCAUGAGAUUCCAGUGGUCUUUUUGGUCGUUCAUGAUGUAUCCCUCGAGCACGCCUGAGUAGUUCAUUGUUACCCUUAUGAUUGCUGAAUCACUGAAAGGGUUGGAUACUGAAACCAAUCUGCCCCCUUGUGAUGAAAAUUCUGUUUUCCAGUCUUGAUUUGGUGAAUUCGGAAAUUCAGGGAAGUGGCCUCCCCAGAAGAUCGUCCUAUACACUCUUUGUGCCCCCUUGGUAAGCAUGAGUUGAGACAAUCCAUGGUUUUCAAUCCUGUAGCUGAAUUCUCCGACAGAUGGGUCGUCAACAGUUCUCCACGAUGUCAGAUAUUUAGCCUGAUCUCCAGUAUGAGUGUCUCCCACCACCAUCUUCAUUCCAG